This 450-nucleotide ribosomal RNA is filed under the name uncultured bacterium. RNAcentral's name for it is "partial 16S ribosomal RNA". It matches the Rfam family "Bacterial small subunit ribosomal RNA", at positions 354 to 796 of the family's 1533-position model. The record is from RNAcentral.
GUGGGGAAUAUUGGACAAUGGGCGAAAGCCUGAUCCAGCCAUGCCGCGUGUGUGAAGAAGGUCUUCGGAUUGUAAAGCACUUUAAGUUGGGAGGAAGGGCAGUAACCUAAUACGUUAUUGUUUUGACGUUACCGACAGAAUAAGCACUGGCUAACUUCGUGCCAGCAGCCGCGGUAAUACGAAGGGUGCAAGCGUUAAUCGGAAUUACUGGGCGUAAAGCGCGCGUAGGUGGUUCAGUAAGUUGGAAGUGAAAUCCCCGGGCUCAACCUGGGAACUGCUUUCAAAACUGCUGAGCUAGAGUACGGUAGAGGGUGGUAGAAUUUCCUGUGUAGCGGUGAAAUGCGUAGAUAUAGGAAGGAACACCAGUGGCGAAGGCGACCACCUGGACUGAUACUGACACUGAGGUGCGAAAGCGUGGGGAGCAAACAGGAUUAGAAACCCUUGUAGUCC